RNAcentral lists this ribosomal RNA (465 nucleotides) under uncultured bacterium. Its description in RNAcentral is "partial 16S ribosomal RNA". It matches the Rfam family "Bacterial small subunit ribosomal RNA", at positions 28 to 507 of the family's 1533-position model. The record is from RNAcentral.
GAUGAACGCUGGCGGCGUGCUUAACACAUGCAAGUCGAACGGAAAGGCUCCUGCUUGCAGGGGUACUCGAGUGGCGAACUGGUGAGUAACACGUGGGUGAUCUGCCCUGCACUUCGGGAUAAGCCUGGGAAACUGGGUCUAAUACCGGAUAGGACGAUGGUUUGGAUGCCAUUGUGGAAAGUUUUUCGGGGUGGGAUGAGCUCGCGGCCUAUCAGCUUGUUGGUGGGGUAAUGGCCUACCAAGGCGUCGACGGGUAGCCGGCCUGAGAGGGUGUACGGCCACAUUGGGACUGAGAUACGGCCCAGACUCCUACGGGAGGCAGGAGUGGGGAAUAUUGCACAAUGGGCGCAAGCCUGAUGCAGCGACGCCGGGUGGGGGAUGACGGCCUUCGGGUUGUAAACUCCUUUCGCUAGGGACGAAGCGCAAGUGACGGUACCUGGAGAAGAAGCACCGGCUAACUACGUG